GUGAAUUUAAAUUUUCUUUAGAACGUGCCAAUAGUGAGAAAAAAAAACAUUAAGACAUCAAGAAGUGAAGAAAGUAAUAAUUUAUAGGGUGAUUUGCAAGAAUAACAAAAAAAAAACUGAAAAUUAAAUAUAUAGCACCUAUUAUGUAUCAAUUAAGUAAAUAACACUCUAACCAUGAAAAAAGUCUAAACGACCCUUGCUUUAGUCUUUCCAGAGGUAAGUGGGAGAGAUGUCGUCGACAUUGAACGAGAUGAUGAUUGGUGAAUAUAGAGAUGUUCUAGUGAAAGGGAAGAAGAUAGAAAUCCAGCGAAGAGGAUGAGAUAGACAAAUCCAACAAGAAAGCAAAGAAGAGAAAUGAAGACGAAUUUUCAGCGGCUGGGAUAUGCAACAUACACCAGAGAUGACAAACAAGGGGUAUAAUUGUCCCAAAUACAUAAAAUACAGAAGAUAUCAACUUGUUUUUUUGAAAAUUGUUAGUUUCUUAAUUUAAUUUUUGGGAGAUUUGCAAAACUACUAUUUUUUACUACUAUUUUGCAACAAUACUCUUUUAUGUUAUCCAUUUAAAAAAAUACUUCUUCCCUUUAACAGAAUGAACAAAUUACCCUCAUCUAAUAGGAACAUGUAAUUGGAAACUAAAAUUUUCCCGCCAAAUUUUUGGAGUCAAAAUUUAUUUUUUCCGCCAAAAAAUAAUUUCCGCCAAACUUUUUUUCCGCAAAAA
This 718-nucleotide small RNA is filed under the name Arabidopsis thaliana (thale cress). Its description in RNAcentral is "ATSL083980". The record is from RNAcentral. Lineage: Eukaryota; Viridiplantae; Streptophyta; Magnoliopsida; Brassicales; Brassicaceae.